CGAUGAACGCUGGCGGCGUGCUUAACACAUGCAAGUCGAACGAUGAUCCGGUGCUUGCACCGGGGAUUAGUGGCGAACGGGUGAGUAACACGUGAGUAACCUGCCCUUAACUCUGGGAUAAGCCUGGGAAACUGGGUCUAAUACCGGAUAUGACUGAUCAUCGCAUGGUGGUUGGUGGAAAGCUUUUUGUGGUUUUGGAUGGACUCGCGGCCUAUCAGCUUGUUGGUGAGGUAAUGGCUUACCAAGGCGACGACGGGUAGCCGGCCUGAGAGGGUGACCGGCCACACUGGGACUGAGACACGGCCCAGACUCCUACGGGAGGCAGCAGUGGGGAAUAUUGCACAAUGGGCGCAAGCCUGAUGCAGCGACGCCGCGUGAGGGAUGACGGCCUUCGGGUUGUAAACCUCUUUCAGUAGGGAAGAAGCGAAAGUGACGGUACCUGCAGAAGAAGCGCCGGCUAACUACGUGCCAGCAGCCGCGGUAAUACGUAGGGCGCAAGCGUUAUCCGGAAUUAUUGGGCGUAAAGAGCUCGUAGGCGGUUUGUCGCGUCUGCCGUGAAAGUCCGGGGCUCAACUCCGGAUCUGCGGUGGGUACGGGCAGACUAGAGUGAUGUAGGGGGAGACUGGAAUUCCUGGUG
Molecule: ribosomal RNA, 637 nt
Filed under: Arthrobacter sp. T1Y
Lineage: Bacteria; Bacillati; Actinomycetota; Actinomycetes; Micrococcales; Micrococcaceae
Description: bacterial SSU rRNA
Rfam family: Bacterial small subunit ribosomal RNA
Source: RNAcentral